Molecule: ribosomal RNA, 1176 nt
Filed under: uncultured organism
Description: bacterial SSU rRNA
Rfam family: Bacterial small subunit ribosomal RNA
Source: RNAcentral
CACUGGAACUGAGACACGGUCCAGACACCUACGGGUGGCAGCAGUCGAGAAUCAUUCGCAAUGGUGGAAACCCUGACGAUGCGACGCCGCGUGGAGGAUGAAGGCCUUAGGGUUGUACACUCCUGUCAAGAGGGAAUAAGCAAGUGAAGGUACCUCUAGAGGAAGGGGCGGCUAAUUCCGUGCCAGCAGCCGCGGUAACACGGAAGCCCCGAGCGUUGUUCGGAUUCAUUGGGCGUAAAGGGUGCGUAGGCGGCGCGGAAAGUCCGGCGUGAAAGGCAGAGGCUCAACCUCUGGACUGCGUUGGAUACUUCCGUGCUUGAGGACUGGAGGGGAGACUGGAAUUCACGGUGUAGCAGUGAAAUGCGUAGAUAUCGUGAGGAAGACCGGUGGCGAAGGCGAGUCUCUGGACAGAUCCUGACGCUGAGGCACGAAGGCUGGGGGAGCGAACAGGAUUAGAUACCCUGGUAGUCCCAGCAGUAAACGAUGUGAGCUUGAUGUGGGGGGAUUCGACCCCUUCCGUGUCGAAGCUAACGCGAUAAGCUCACCGCCUGAGGAGUACGGCCGCAAGGCUAAAACUCAAAGAAAUUGACGGGGACCCGCACAAGCGGUGGAGUAUGUGGCUUAAUUCGAUGCAACGCGAAGAACCUUACCUGGCCUUGACAUGCAUUGUGUCGUCGGUGAAAGCCGGCUAGUCCUGGAAACAGGACGCUUUGCACAGGUGCUGCAUGGCUGUCGUCAGCUCGUGUCGUGAGAUGUUGGGUUAAGUCCCGCAACGAGCGCAACCCUUGUGGUCAGUUACUAACCGGCUUAGCCGGAGGACUCUGGCCAGACUGCCCUGUCAAACGGGGAGGAAGGUGGGGACGACGUCAAGUCAGUAUGGCCCUUAUGGCCAGGGCUGCACACGUACUACAAUGCCCGGUACAAUGUGAACCGAAACCGCGAGGUGGAGGAAAUCGCUCUUGAAAACCGGGCCCAGUUCGGAUUGGAGUCUGCAACUCGACUCCAUGAAGUCGGAAUCGCUAGUAAUGGCGUAUCAGCAACGACGCCGUGAAUACGUUCCCGGGUCUUGUACACACCGCCCGUCACAUCAUGGAAGUCUCCUGUACCCGAAGCACGUGCGCCAACCUUUUAGGAGGCAGCGUUCGAAGGUAUGGGAGGUAACUGGGAUGAAGUCGU